This 277-nucleotide long non-coding RNA is filed under the name Medicago truncatula (barrel medic). RNAcentral describes it as "lncRNA gene5767". Lineage: Eukaryota; Viridiplantae; Streptophyta; Magnoliopsida; Fabales; Fabaceae. The record is from RNAcentral.
CCGCCCUCAGAUAUAGUUAGAUUGGUAGUUUUUCAAAGCCUCUCCUCAACAUCCAACAAGGCAAUGCACAUAAAGCAUAACCUCCACCAUCUCACCCACUGUCACUAUGAAUAAUAUUAAUUAAUAAUAAUAAUAAUAAUAAUGUUGGUGGUGGUGCGACGAGUGGAAGAAAAAGAAGAAGAGAAGAGCAUAGUGAUGGCAGUGUGUGGUGAAAGGCAGAUGGGAUGGAAAAGCUUUGAAUAUUAUUGAGAGUACCAUAUCUAAACAACCAUUCAUC